RNAcentral lists this ribosomal RNA (82 nucleotides) under Hildebrandtiella cuspidans. RNAcentral describes it as "partial 5.8S ribosomal RNA". It matches the Rfam family "5.8S ribosomal RNA", at positions 74 to 154 of the family's 154-position model. From Rfam's summary of the family: 5.8S ribosomal RNA (5.8S rRNA) is a component of the large subunit of the eukaryotic ribosome. It is transcribed by RNA polymerase I as part of the 45S precursor that also contains 18S and 28S rRNA. Lineage: Eukaryota; Viridiplantae; Streptophyta; Bryopsida; Hypnales; Pterobryaceae. The record is from RNAcentral.
GCAGAAUUCCGCGAAUCAUCGAGUCUUUGAACGCAAGUUGCGCCCNAGGCUUGUCCGAGGGCAUUUCCGCUAGAGCGUCACC